CAUAGAUAACUGUAUUGGGUGUGUUUAAAUGUACAACUCUGUUUUUCUAUUAUUAUGUGAUAUUUCAUGUUGACUUGUCAAACUGAAAAAUACCCAUAUUGAUUUUGCAGAAAGCUUCACAUGUGAGAUAAAUGCACUCAAAGACUCCUCACAAGUAGCUCUUUGGAGCUUCAGAUGUGAAAUGGAUCAUCCUCAGUCUGUAAUAGACCCUUCUGUGAAGCUCUUCAAUCAAACCUGAGAAUUCAAGGCGUUUUGUAGCAUCCUAAACAGAAGGAUAUUGAAGGGAGCUGAUUCUGCUUUGAUCCUUGGGCUUGUUGUCAAAGCGCUUGGGAUUGAAGAGACUGUUGGCUACAAUUGACUGUGACAAUUAGGAGAUGAUCAGAGCCCUAGAGUGGAGCACUUAAAGGGUUUGCAUUUGAAACACUCUUGGAGCACUAAUGGUAUAAAAUUCUGGUAACUGCACAUUCGCUUUUUAGAGAGGUAAUGAGUGAAUGAAUGAAAAGGCUGCGAUUAUUUGCCAUUCUGAGUGGGAAUUGUCAGAAGAUUUCUACUUGACUGAAAUUGUUUUGGAAGUGAGCUGGAUCAAGACUUUUGCAACUAAAAUGAAGUGACUCUGGUGUGGUUUUCUGAUAUUUCUCUUCAUCGGAGAAUUCUGCAGAACUGUUCUGGGAGUUAGAAGUUGAUUUAAAUUUUAUUUAUAGGAGAUUAUUUAGGUGAAUCGUAAGAAAACAUUGAAAAGUAUGUGUAUUUGACUCUUAACAAGUACUUGGGAGUCUUUUGCAAACUCAUUUUGAAAUUAUUUGAUGUGAGUUUUCCUGUUUACCAUCACAGUGUUUUUUCAAUAUACAAAUUACCAUGUUGUGACAAAAUAAAUUAUUGAAAUGCUUUGAAAA
Miniopterus natalensis is the source of this 893-nucleotide non-coding RNA. NCBI's taxonomy places the organism in Eukaryota, Metazoa, Chordata, Mammalia, Chiroptera, Miniopteridae. The record is from RefSeq and is a predicted model, not a curated record.